AAUAAAAUCGACAAAUGAUAAAAGAUUUCUCGGAAAUUAAAAAAAAAAUAGAAAUUCCUAAAAUUAAAACCCCAAACAAAAACUCGUAACCUAUUCUCAUAAUAAACUCAAUUUACCAACCAAACAGAUCUUAAAAUCGAGAUUUCCCAUCGUCUACUACUGCACCACAAAUAAUAAAUUCGAUUGUCUCUCUCUCGCUGUGUGUACGGAAAUAAAAAUUGAAUCAAAUUCAAACAAAACCAAAAUCUAAUAAAUAAACUGUAAUUAAAAUAAAUUAUUUAAUAGUUUGUUGUUUUUAUUUAAGAUUUAGGUGUAUUUUUGUAUUUUAACCCCGAGCGCCGGGAAAAAUCAUCCAAAAUCAAUUUUCGUGAAAAACCAGAAAUGUCAAGUGAUUGUGUUGGUAUCGGAGGAGAAUUUUUCUAAUUUUUCUUAUAAAAGAGAGCGUGCGACACAGAGUCUGCUCUACUUCGACGGGGAAACAACAGUUUUUAUUUUGACGUUUAUCAAAAUUUCCCCUACAAAAACGCCUAUAUUUUGUUCUCUUUCUAAAAUUUUUAAAGAGAAAAAUUUUAUAUAUUUUUGUUUGUGUUUGUGUGUUUGCAGAAAAUGUCAUUGUCCUUUUUUUUACGAAAUUUUCAGCUCGUUCAAUUUUGUAAUUUGCAAGGAAUUCAGUGAGAAUUGAUUGUUUCUCCAGAGAGACAGUUAAUUUCUUUAUAAAUUGUGCGGAAAGUGUAGGUGAACUCACUCAAUCUACCCUUCGCCAAUAAUUUUCUUGUAACAACAAAGCAAAAAAAAUCAAGAGAGAAACCCGUCCUCCAGUGUUAAUAAAAUACAAAUACAAAACAAAAUAAACAAAGAAAAUUCAAUCAAACUAAAAAAAAGUCUCCAAAAUCAGGAACUUUACUCUCUCUCUCUCUUUCAGAAUUUCCCCUCCAAUUUCUUGUAACAGUUACAUUUUUUGUGCGUAUUUUCGUGUAUAUGUGUGUUCUGUAAUUUUCAUAUUUUUCGUGAGAGAAACUCGGGGAAAAUUUUCUUGUAACAGGAUCAUUCGCUCUCCGAAUCUAGAACCGAAGAAGACGCGUUUCUGUCAACUACACUACGUAAGGCCACACACGGGACACUGACCGUUAAAUUACCGGUGAACAAAAAAUACACAAAAGAAAAAAAAAUUGAUGAUUGUGUAUUGUAUUAUUUUCCUCUUUGGGCUUAAAUAAUAAAAAUUUUAGUGAAUUAAGAGCCUUUUAUUUCCCUUACUCACUCACACUCAACAACUUCGCCCGGUGCGUGUUUGACGAGCUUUAAGCGAAUUCCCAAACAAGCCUAAUUAAUUGAUUAAUCAAAUCGAUGUUUGUGCAAUUUUUCGCAAUUAAAUAAAAUCGAAAAAUCUUCCCAAUUUUUCCGUUGUUGUUUCUCUUCUCUGCCGUUUUAUCUAAUUUUUCUUAUUUUUGUGUGCAAUUAUUUUUUCUCUUCUCACGGUCGUAUAUCCUCUGAAUAAGUCUUUUGCUCCUGGUGUAUUUUAUAGUGGAAAUUUAAGUUUCUUUUUUUUCUCUAAUUUUUUGAAGAAAAGUUUGAAAUAAAAAAGUCCUAUCAGUGAUAGAAAAAUUCGAUUAGGCACUAAAGAGAAGAAGAAGAGUGUUUUUUUAAAACAAAUUGUUUGUUGAAAUUUUAUGGAAUAUUGCUGAUGGCGGCCGUUGGUGGCCCCGCUAAGCAAUCUCGGGUUUCGAUGAGCGUUUCAAUGUCAUUGGUUCAAGGUGGCGCCGCCGGUGGAGCACCUCAAGGUGCUAUAUUAGCCGCUGCAGCUCCUUACUAUCAACCGCCAGCAGUUCCAUUAGAUGUCCAACCAGAUCGUCCAAUUGGUUAUGGUGCAUUUGGUGUCGUAUGGGCCGUCACAGAUCCAAGAGAUGGACGACGAGUUGCACUCAAGAAAUUACCAAACGUUUUCCAAUCAUUGGUAUCAUCAAAAAGAGUUUUUAGAGAACUAAAAAUGCUUUGCUUUUUUAAACAUGAAAAUGUACUCUCAGCGUUGGACAUAUUACAACCACCUCAUUUGGAUUUCUUCCAGGAAAUAUAUGUGAUAACUGAACUCCUACAGUCAGAUCUGCACAAGAUCAUCGUAUCGCCACAACACCUCUUAGCCGAUCACAUAAAAGUAUUUUUGUAUCAGAUAUUGCGUGGCCUAAAAUAUCUCCAUUCAGCCCGAAUUCUACACAGAGACAUUAAGCCAGGCAAUUUGUUGGUCAAUAGCAAUUGUGUUUUGAAGAUAUGCGAUUUUGGUUUAGCACGUGUGGAAGAGCCCGACCAAUCGAAACACAUGACACAAGAAGUUGUAACACAAUAUUAUCGUGCCCCAGAAAUUCUAAUGGGAGCUCGUCAUUAUUCAGCAGCUGUUGAUGUCUGGUCGGUUGGAUGUAUAUUUGGUGAGUUAUUGGGUCGUCGUAUUUUGUUCCAGGCACAAAAUCCUGUGCAACAGCUGGAGCUUAUAACUGAGCUGUUGGGUACACCAUCGAUGGAGGAUAUGCGGCAUGCGUGCGAAGGUGCCAGAACGCAUAUGUUGCGAAGAGCUCCAAAGGCUCCAUCGUUUUCAGCAUUGUAUACAUUGAGUUCACAUGCGACACAUGAAGCUGUGCAUUUACUUUGCCAGAUGUUGGUAUUCGAUCCUGAUAAGAGAAUAUCAGUGACAGAUGCUUUGGGUCAUUCAUAUCUAGACGAAGGACGUCUGAGAUAUCAUUCGUGUAUGUGUAAAUGUUGUUUUAAUACCUCAUCCGGUAUGCGGCAAUAUACAGGAGAUUUUGAACCAUCAGCUGGACAGCCAUUCGAUGAUCUUUGGGAGAGGAAAUUAACGUCUGUGCAGCAAGUUAAAGAGGAAAUGCACAAAUUCAUAGCGGAGCAACUACAAACCGGACGUGUUCCACUUUGUAUUAAUCCUCAAAGUGCUGCAUUCAAAAGUUUUGCAAGCCAAUGAGAUAAUCUACUAGUACCACUGCUGCUGUUGAUGUUGAUGCUGAAAUAUUAAUUAUUUAUAAACAAAACAAAACAAAAAAAAUAAUAAAUAAAUACAAAAAAAAAAAUUACAUGAAUGUCUAUAGUCAACGUAAACAAAAUAUUAAUAUUCGAAUAAAAGAAAAAAUCAAUUUUAUACUGCACAAUAUUAAACAUUAUUAAAAUAUUUAAAAAAAAAUAUGAACAUAAAUGUCCUGCUGCCAUCUUUAAAUUGCAAAUUUCUACCAAUGGUUAUCAACAGUCAAGUUCAUUCUAAUUAAAAUAUAAAUGAAAGUUACUCUCUUACACGUCAAAAUUCAUCAACAUAACAAAAAAUAAAUUAUUUCAUCCACGAGCAAUGGGCAUUCAAAUUAAAAAUAGUUCCACCGUCGCCCAUCCUUCAGAACUGCCUCCAUCGCCACACCAAUGGGAAUGACGGCAAAAUGAGGCGAUAGCUGCCUAAAAUAAAUUACUUUCUGCCAAAAUAAAAUAUUAUUUUAAUAAUUCUUAACUAUAAACAUUAAAAAAAAAAAACAAAACUUAACAACAAACAACAAAUUCAUCAUUUAUUUAAGUUUUUUUUUUAUAAUAUCAAACAAAAUGAUAAAUAAUCCUAAAAAAAAACACAAAUUAAAUUACAUUGGACAACUUUAAAGAAACAAAUUUAAAAAAAAAAUUAAAUUAAAACAAAACAACAAAUAAAUCAUUCCACCAUGGUAUCGAAAGAGAAAAACAAAACUACUACUACUCACAACACACUAGUCGUCGUCGUCGCUGAAGAUAAAAAAAAUGAAGUUAAGUUAUAUAAACAAAUUAAAAAAAAAAAAAAACAAAAAA
Molecule: RNA transcript, 3816 nt
Organism: Episyrphus balteatus (marmalade hoverfly)
Lineage: Eukaryota; Metazoa; Arthropoda; Insecta; Diptera; Syrphidae
Gene: nmo
Gene name: serine/threonine-protein kinase NLK
Exons: 8
Source: RefSeq, a predicted model, not a curated record